AAUCAACGCUGGCGGCGCGCUUAACACAUGCAAGUCGAACGAGAAAGUGGAGCAAUCCAUGAGUAAAGUGGCGUACGGGUGAGUAACACGUGGAUCAUCUACCUCUUUGUGGGAUACAAGGAACGUGGCUAUACGCAUAAGCUCGAGAGAGGAAAGUCGAAAGACGCAGAGAGAGGAGUCCGCGGCUGAUUAGCUAGUUGGUA
This 203-nucleotide ribosomal RNA is filed under the name uncultured bacterium. RNAcentral describes it as "partial 16S ribosomal RNA". It matches the Rfam family "Bacterial small subunit ribosomal RNA", at positions 32 to 254 of the family's 1533-position model. The record is from RNAcentral.